Molecule: ribosomal RNA, 433 nt
Filed under: uncultured bacterium
Lineage: Bacteria
Description: partial 16S ribosomal RNA
Rfam family: Bacterial small subunit ribosomal RNA
Source: RNAcentral
AACGAACGCUGGCGGCAUGCCUAACACAUGCAAGUCGAACGAAACCUUCGGGUCUAGUGGCGCACGGGUGCGUAAGGCGAGGGAACCUGCCCUUAGGUUCGGAAUAACUCCCCGAAAGGGGUUCUAAUACCGGAUAGGAUCUUCACACCAAGGACUUAUCGUCCUUGGAUGGGUCCGCGUUCGAUUAGCUAGUUGGUAGGGUAAAAGCCUACCGAGGCGAAGAUGCCUAGCUGGUCUGAGAGGAUGCUCAGCCACACGGGGACUGAGCCACGGCCCAGACUCCUACGGGAUGCAGAAGUGCUGAACACUGGACUACGGGCGCAAGCCUGAGCCAGCAAGGUGGCGUGAGCGACGAAGGGCUUAGGGGUGGAAAGCCCCUCUAUCCGGGAUGAUAAUGACAGUACCGGGAGAAGAAGCACCGGCUAACUUCGUG